RNAcentral lists this ribosomal RNA (497 nucleotides) under uncultured bacterium. RNAcentral's name for it is "partial 16S ribosomal RNA". It matches the Rfam family "Bacterial small subunit ribosomal RNA", at positions 28 to 507 of the family's 1533-position model. The record is from RNAcentral.
GAUGAACGCUGGCGGCGUGCCUAAUACAUGCAAGUCGAGCGAACGGACGAGAAGCUUGCUUUUCUGAUGUUAGCGGCGGACGGGUGAGUAACACGUGGAUAACCUACCUAUAAGACUGGGAUAACUUCGGGAAACCGGAGCUAAUACCGGAUAAUAUUUUGAACCGCAUGGUUCAAAAGUGAAAGACGGUCUUGCUGUCACUUAUAGAUGGAUCCGCGCUGCAUUAGCUAGUUGGUAAGGUAACGGCUUACCAAGGCAACGAUGCAUAGCCGACCUGAGAGGGUGAUCGGCCACACUGGAACUGAGACACGGUCCAGACUCCUACGGGAGGCAGCAGUAGGGAAUCUUCCGCAAUGGGCGAAAGCCUGACGGAGCAACGCCGCGUGAGUGAUGAAGGUCUUCGGAUCGUAAAACUCUGUUAUUAGGGGAGAACAUAUGUGUAAGUAACUGUGCACAUCUUGACGGUACCUAAUCAGAAAGCCACGGCUAACUACGUG